AACCCACAUUCUAACUUUGGCACAGAGUGCAAGACAACGUUUUAAACUCUACCGUUUACGGAUUAACAAACUACAACUGCCGAUUAGUGAUAUUAUUUCUGGAGCAGAUAUGAUUUGAUCAUAUCAUUUUUCAUAAUUUAGUUCGGUCAAAUUUAUAACAGCAUUUUAUUAUGUUACUUUGCAAUAUUGAAGUUCUUUCUUAAAACUAGCAUUAAAUGCUUUCUUUAUGUACAUUUAUUUCAUGUUUAUUAAUCUAAGACAAGACUGACUCGGGGUAUAUCUUUUCCUCGGUCCCUCUUUGGAGAGAGAAACCCUUUUCAUUACUUUCCACGGCGCGCUUCAUCAGGUUACACCACACUAGUGGAUCUACGUGCCGAGACGCAGUCUCACCGGAGAAGGGAGCGGAGGACAACUCCACUGCUCUGGCUCCACUUCUCCUUCCAGCAUCCUCUUUGUUAGCAGGAAGAAUCCUUCUCGCUGGGUAUCCAACAGACCACGACAUGAAACUGUGCGUAAUCACGUUGAUGGCCGCAGCGCUCCAACUGCAGCUCUCACCUGCCCAGAGCCUGCCCUCAUCUAGUCUAAACAGCACAUCUGAAGUCGUCCUGAACUUCCAAGAGGUGUGGCAUCGGAGCUUCUGCCGGACCAUCGAGAAGCUGGUGGAGGUGGUGCAGGAGUACCCCGGGGAGGUGGAGCACAUCUACAGCCCGUCCUGCGUGCCCCUGGUGCGCUGCGCCGGCUGCUGCGGGGACGACAACAUGGAGUGCCAUCCCACCAACACCUCCAACGUCACCAUGCUGCUGUUGAAAAUCAAGCCAGCGGCGCAAGGUCAAGAAUAUGUUGAGAUGACGUUUGUGGAGCACCAGACAUGUGAAUAAAACGAGAACCCACCAUGAGGGUUGAAAGGUAAGUGGAUGUUCAUAUUCUCAGAUGUGACAUGUUUUUUUUAUAGCAUCUCUGCUCUGGAGGUUUAUAUUAUGUUAUUUUCUACAGAAGGAGGCAGAGAGGGAGAGGAAAGAAGAGAAAGGAAAGACAAAGAGGGAAAGACUGUGACAGGUGCCAGGUCCCUCGUAGGUAACUAGUGGCAUAACUUCACCACCCCCCCCACCCCCCCCUCCAACCCUCUCGCAAAAUGGCUCACUAUUUAUUUCCCAACCCAAUGGCUGUGUCGAUCUUCACUGUCUGCGACUGCACUCAAGAGACUCAAAGACUGGGUUGUUGUGGCGACAGGCCCUUCUGCGGAUGGGGAGAGCUUUUUAAAUCAAGGUUAAACCGGAAGUGCCUUUUGAUUUGUGAAAACGAUUCUGUUACACACCUGACACGACGGACAUCCCUGGGAGCCAGUGCAAUAGGACCAAACAGACAGAGAAUAAUACUGUGUUGUUUUUUACUCCUUCUUUAUACUGGUUAUUAACAACUAUAUGUAUCAUUUAUGUAUUUAAAGAUUUUACCAUUGUUUAAAAUGUUUAUUUAUUGAUACAGCUAAAAUAUUCUUUGGAAUAACAGUCAAGAUUUGAAGCAACGCCUUCCGUCGAACUGUAUCGUCAUCACGGCCAAUGAGGACCAUCCCAUCGCGUGUCUCUUCAUUUUUCUGGAAUGCACUAAAAUGGAAUGUCUCCCUCUAGCGGUGUGAUUUAAAACAGCGCAUUACUUCCAUUAUUUCCCUAUGACACUGCUUUCACGGUCUAUGAGAAAGCUGUUCGUCAAAUGUUUUUUAAAACCACUGGAUUUAAACCAAUUUCUACUUGCAAUCAUGUGUACAUUGUGAAAAUAAGUAACCCAAAAACAUUUAUGUGUUGAAGAUUCAUCCAAAGAAGUUUGAGUGCAUAAAUAAAUGUGAGCAGUGCAUUAAAGAAAUGGCCUCUAGUUGUUUAAA
Molecule: RNA transcript, 1876 nt
Organism: Gadus morhua (Atlantic cod)
Lineage: Eukaryota; Metazoa; Chordata; Actinopteri; Gadiformes; Gadidae
Gene: pgfb
Gene name: placental growth factor b
Exons: 6
Source: RefSeq, a predicted model, not a curated record